Long non-coding RNA from Homo sapiens (human), 2303 nucleotides. RefSeq lists it as uncharacterized. The transcript has 5 exons. Lineage: Eukaryota; Metazoa; Chordata; Mammalia; Primates; Hominidae. The record is from RefSeq and is a predicted model, not a curated record.
CAGGCGUGAGCCACCGCGCCCGGCCAAUUUCUAAGGCUCCAUUAGGGCUAAGGUUCAUGUAUCCAUGGUGAAGUAUAGAAGAACUCAGAAUCGUUCCAAACAUAAUGGGCUUGGAGUAAUGGAGAACUCCAAGGGCAGGAGGUAACCAUUAAAGAGGACCAUCAUGUAGUGUGAGGAGUCAACAUUUCACACUAGAAAGCCCUUGGUUCAAGUUUUGUCUCUGCCACCUACAGAUUUUGUAACCCUGAGAGAAAAGGAAAAUCCUACGGAGGAGGGGCUCUGAUGGCUUUGAAGAAGGCAGUGAAUGGCCACAUGUUCCCUGAGGACAGCACAGGCUAAAGGCUCAGCUAGAAGAAAGGCACAGAGAUAGCAAGGGAAACUAGCUACCUCUUUAUGUACUGCCCUAUGGAGAGGCACACAUGUCAAGAAACUGAGGGAGUGCCUUCCAGUCAACAGCCAGCCAGGAACUAAGGUGCUCAGUACAGCAGCCUCCACAAAGGACUGAACAAUGCCAACAGCUAUUUGACUGUGCUUGGAAGAUCUCCGUUUAGUUAACCCUUCAGAUGAGACCGCAGCCCUGGCCAGCAAACAAAUUGCAGCCUAUGGAAAGACCUUAAGGCAGAAGCACCCAACUGAACCACCCGAGGGCUCUGACUUACAGAAACUGUGAGCAUAUAGUGAAAUGGCCUCUACCUUAUUUUGAAUGGAUUUCUGGGAUAAAGUUCUUCAGUGAUAACAUGUUUGAAGUUUCAGGAAAGAGGCACUGGCCUUUACUUCUCCACCUCGAUUCACUUCCAUGCUGUUGACAAAUGUUAUAGUUGCCCAGGAUCAGAGGGAGAGACUGACCCUGUGACCAUUUCCCCAAAGGCGGCCUUUGGCCACUCCGUGCACUGGAGCACAUGACCCUCUGCCUCGCCCCUGCCACAUUAACCAGGUGACUGUCUGCCAAGGCCCAGCCCAGUCCAAAGGGAAUUGGGAUUCAGUGUCCCAAACAAGGCACUGAUUAGCUGGUAAUCAGGCAGCGAUUAGCAGGUCGGGUCACCUGCAGUUCAGUGCCCAUUGUUCCCAGCAAAGUCCUGGGAUAUUUGCCACACGGCUGGCCAGUCUGAAUGUCUGAGGAUUCCGAUGCCUGCAGCUCUGCUGUGGAGAUGUGUGAUUAGGAACAAAUCCUCUGUUCUCUAAGCCCAUCCCCCCAAGGAGGCAGUGCAGUGUGAAUAGUGAAUCCCCUUCUCUAUUCACACACAAAGGUUUGGGGAGAAGAAUGGCCUGCUUAGGAGCUCAACAGUGACAGAGAGGUGAGGCCCCAAGGAUGCACUGAAGAACUGAAAGCAAAUUAGCACAUUCCUCUUCCUGCACCAUGAUGACUGAGAGUGGAGGAACGGGCAAGCCCACAUCCAGACUGGGAUUCUACUGUGAUCUUGAGAUGUGACCUUGGACAAGAUUUUUAACCUCUGAGCUUGUUUACCUUGAUUUUGAGAGUUUAAUAACACUUGCCUCUUCAGCCUUUGAAGUUCAGAUUUAGAAAAUGAACAUAAAGCAGUUACUACAGUCUCUGUAGCGUGUGACCAAUACAUGCUAUCACCGUUAUCAUCGGUCAUAGUAAUAUCAAUAUUUAAAAUAUCAUAAUUAUUUGAAAUACUUUAUUUAAAAUAUGCCUCUGUAACAUCACUUCUAAAUGAGAGAUAGCCCCUUUGUAGGAGGCCAUGAUAAGGAUGAGAUGAGAAUUCUUGUAAAGCUUUCAUCACAGGGCCUAGCAAGUAAUUAGCACUUAAUAAAUCAUAGUAACAAUGGUGAUCACCAUCAUUAUUGUUUGUACAAAGUUGAAUGGAAAAGACUAUUUUGUAGCACUUUUCACUGUAUUGUAGCAUGUGAUCAUGAAAAUUUAGACAAAGCAUAAUUUUUCGAGCUAAAAGGAGAUUAAUGAAAUUAUUCAUGGCACAUUCACACCAUUGGACACUGUUCAGCUUUAUAGUCUAUGUGCCCUUCCACCACCUGGAGAUCUUGCUAAAAUUCUCAUUUGGUAAAUCUGGGGUCAGCCCAAGAUUACGCAUUUCCAGUGGAUUCUCAAGUGAUUCCAGGGCUACCUGUCCAUGGACUCCACUUUGAGUAAACAGGAUGUACACUUUUACAAUAAAAAAUGUGUAUAUGCAUUUAUACAGAAAUAUAGAAAAAUAUUCCUAGGCUAUACUCAAGAUGGGGGACAGUGUUUUUCACCCCCUUCGCUAAACUGUACUAUCUUUCCCAGAAAUUUAAUAACAAACAUGUAAAAACAUUUAAAAAUGCAAUAAAUUUUAUUGAUGCAA